This 253-nucleotide ribosomal RNA is filed under the name uncultured Dysgonomonas sp. Its description in RNAcentral is "partial 16S ribosomal RNA". It matches the Rfam family "Bacterial small subunit ribosomal RNA", at positions 524 to 776 of the family's 1533-position model. The record is from RNAcentral. Lineage: Bacteria; Pseudomonadati; Bacteroidota; Bacteroidia; Bacteroidales; Dysgonomonadaceae.
UACGGAGGAUGCGAGCGUUAUCCGGAUUUAUUGGGUUUAAAGGGUGCGUAGGCGGUUUAUUAAGUCAGCGGUGAAAGUUUGGGGCUCAACCUUAAAAUUGCCGUUGAAACUGGUAGACUUGAGUAUAAAUGAAGUGGGCGGAAUUUGUGGUGUAGCGGUGAAAUGCUUAGAUAUCACAAGGAACUCCAAUUGCGAAGGCAGCUCACUAAGCUAUAACUGACGCUGAGGCACGAAAGCGUGGGGAUCAAACAGG